UUUUUAAGGAGAAGCAGGUGGAUGAAAAACAUAAGCGACUCAGUGGAGUCUCAGAUGAAUCAUUCCAGACCUCAUCAUGACAGACAUAAAGCUUGUGAUGUGACUGAACCUGUGUAUGACAAUGUAACGAUGAAUCAUUCCAGACCUCAUCAUGACAGACAUAAAGCUUGUGAUGUGACUGAACCUGUGUAUGACAAUGUAACGCUUUCAGCUUGACAGGAAGAGGCUGUAGAAGCUCACCAUUGCGAGCUUAAAGUCCACAUGAAAUCAAAAUUGACUUUAUUUACUUUA
Molecule: long non-coding RNA, 291 nt
Organism: Sinocyclocheilus grahami
Lineage: Eukaryota; Metazoa; Chordata; Actinopteri; Cypriniformes; Cyprinidae
Exons: 4
Source: RefSeq, a predicted model, not a curated record